CCCAGAGAAGUUUAGCAUAGCCCCUGCAUGAGGAUGACACAAAAAUCCAUGGAGCGUUCCAUUUAAAA
Molecule: small nuclear RNA, 68 nt
Organism: Cricetulus griseus (Chinese hamster)
Lineage: Eukaryota; Metazoa; Chordata; Mammalia; Rodentia; Cricetidae
Source: Ensembl